RNAcentral lists this ribosomal RNA (377 nucleotides) under uncultured bacterium. Its description in RNAcentral is "bacterial SSU rRNA". It matches the Rfam family "Bacterial small subunit ribosomal RNA", at positions 966 to 1342 of the family's 1533-position model. The record is from RNAcentral.
GGACCUUACCUACCCUUGACAUGUCAGAAAGUUUCCAGAGAUGGAUUUGUGCCCGAAAGGGAACCGUAACACAGGUGCUGCAUGGCUGUCGUCAGCUCGUGUCGUGAGAUGUUGGGUUAAGUCCCGCAACGAGCGCAACCCUUGUCAUUAAUUGCCAUCAUUUAGUUGGGCACUUUAAUGAGACUGCCGGUGACAAACCGGAGGAAGGUGGGGAUGACGUCAAGUCCUCAUGGCCCUUAUGGGUAGGGCUACACACGUCAUACAAUGGCCGGUACAGAGGGUCGCCAACCCGCGAGGGGGAGCCAAUCCCAGAAAGCCGAUCGUAGUCCGGAUUGUAGUCUGCAACUCGACUGCAUGAAGUCGGAAUCGCUAGUAAU